RNAcentral lists this ribosomal RNA (468 nucleotides) under uncultured bacterium. RNAcentral describes it as "partial 16S ribosomal RNA". It matches the Rfam family "Bacterial small subunit ribosomal RNA", at positions 28 to 507 of the family's 1533-position model. The record is from RNAcentral.
GACGAACGCUGGCGGCGUGCUUAACACAUGCAAGUCGAACGGAAAGGCCCUGCUUUUGUGGGGUGCUCGAGUGGCGAACGGGUGAGUAACACGUGAGUAACCUGCCCUUGACUUUGGGAUAACUUCAGGAAACUGGGGCUAAUACCGGAUAGGAGCUCCUGCUGCAUGGUGGGGGUUGGAAAGUUUCGGCGGUUGGGGAUGGACUCGCGGCUUAUCAGCUUGUUGGUGGGGUAGUGGCUUACCAAGGCUUUGACGGGUAGCCGGCCUGAGAGGGUGACCGGCCACAUUGGGACUGAGAGACGGACCAGACUCCUACGGGAGGCAGCAGUGGGGAAUAUUGCACAAUGGGCGGAAGCCUGAUGCAGCAACGCCGCGUGCGGGAUGACGGCCUUCGGGUUGUAAACCGCUUUCGCAUGUGACGAAGCGUGAGUGACGGUAAUGGGUAAAGAAGCACCGGCUAACUACGUG